This 502-nucleotide ribosomal RNA is filed under the name uncultured bacterium. Its description in RNAcentral is "bacterial SSU rRNA". It matches the Rfam family "Bacterial small subunit ribosomal RNA", at positions 21 to 518 of the family's 1533-position model. The record is from RNAcentral.
GGCUCAGGAUGAACGCUAGCGGCAGGCUUAACACAUGCAAGUCGAGGGGCAGCGGGUGUAGCAAUACAUGCCGGCGACCGGCGCAAGGGUGCGUAACGCGUGAGCAAUCUGCCCGUAUCAGGGGGGAUAAGCGAUGGAAACGUCGUCUAAUACCGCAUAACACCAAUGAUGGCAUCAUCGAUGGUUGAAAGCUUCGGUGGAUACGGAUGAGCUCGCGAGACAUUAGUUAGUUGGCGGGUAACGGCCACCAAGACCGCGAUGUCUAGGGGAACUGAGGGGUUGGUCCCCCACACUGGAACUGAGACACGGUCCAGACUCCUACGGGAGGCAGCAGUGAGGAAUAUUGGACAAUGGCCGGAAGGCUGAUCCAGCCAUGCCGCGUGAAGGAAUUAAAGGUCCUAUGGAUUGUAAACUUCUUUUGUACGAGAGCAAUAAGUGUCACGAGUGACACGAUGAGAGUAUCGUACGAAUAAGCAUCGGCUAACUCCGUGCCAGCAGCCGC